AACGAACGCUGGCGGCAUGCCUAACACAUGCAAGUCGAACGAGACCUUCGGGUCUAGUGGCGCACGGGUGCGUAACGCGUGGGACCCUGCCCUUAGGUUCGGAAUAACUCCCCGAAAGGGGUGCUAAUACCGGAUAAUGUCUUCGGACCAAAGAUUUAUCGCCUUUGGAUGGGCCCGCGUUGGAUUAGCUAGUUGGUAGGGUAAAAGCCUACCAAGGCGACGAUCCAUAGCUGGUCUGAGAGGAUGAUCAGCCACACUGGGACUGAGACACGGCCCAGACUCCUACGGGAGGCAGCAGUGGGGAAUAUUGGACAAUGGGCGAAAGCCUGAUCCAGCAAUGCCGCGUGAGUGAUGAAGGCCUUAGGGUUGUAAAGCUCUUUUACCCGGGAUGAUAAUGACAGUACCGGGAGAAUAAGCUCCGGCUAACUCCGUG
RNAcentral lists this ribosomal RNA (433 nucleotides) under uncultured bacterium. Its description in RNAcentral is "partial 16S ribosomal RNA". It matches the Rfam family "Bacterial small subunit ribosomal RNA", at positions 29 to 507 of the family's 1533-position model. The record is from RNAcentral.